AAAAAGAGUUAUUUGCUGGGGCUCUGUUACGGAUCCCUAUUGUUUGCUUUACUUAUGGAACUACUAGUUAGAUCUGUGAGAAAGAACUACGAGUCAGCU
Molecule: small nucleolar RNA, 99 nt
Filed under: Erinaceus europaeus (western European hedgehog)
Lineage: Eukaryota; Metazoa; Chordata; Mammalia; Eulipotyphla; Erinaceidae
Source: RNAcentral